UGGGGAAUUUUGGACAGUGGGGGCAACCCUGAUCCAGCAAUGCCGCGUGUGUGAAGAAGGCCUUCGGGUUGUAAAGCACUUUUGUCCGGAAAGAAAACUUCGGGGCUAAUACCCCUGGAGGAUGACGGUACCGGAAGAAUAAGCACCGGCUAACUACGUGCCAGCAGCCGCGGUAAUACGUAGGGUGCGAGCGUUAAUCGGAAUUACUGGGCGUAAAGCGUGCGCAGGCGGUGCUGUAAGACCGAUGUGAAAUCCCCGGGCUUAACCUGGGAACUGCAUUGGUGACUGCAGCGCUGGAGUAUGGCAGAGGGGGGUGGAAUUCCACGUGUAGCAGUGAAAUGCGUAGAGAUGUGGAGGAACACCGAUGGCGAAGGCAGCCCCCUGGGCCAAUACUGACGCUCAUGCACGAAAGCGUGGGGAGCAAACAGG
RNAcentral lists this ribosomal RNA (429 nucleotides) under Bacillota bacterium. Its description in RNAcentral is "Firmicutes bacterium partial 16S ribosomal RNA". It matches the Rfam family "Bacterial small subunit ribosomal RNA", at positions 355 to 776 of the family's 1533-position model. Lineage: Bacteria; Bacillati; Bacillota. The record is from RNAcentral.